CAAGGAAUUUUCCGCAAUGGGCGCAAGCCUGACGGAGCAACGCCGCGUGGGGGAUGACGCUUUUCGGAGUGUAAACCCCUUUUCUCAGGGAAGAAGAAAGUGACGGCACCUGAGGAAGAAGGACCGGCUAACUACGUGCCAGCAGCCGCGGUAAUACGUAGGGUCCGAGCGUUGUCCGGAGUUACUGGGCGUAAAGCGCGCGCAGGUGGCUCGAUAAGACUGGCGUGAAAGCCCCCGGCUCAACCGGGGAGGGUCGUUGGUGACGGUCGAGCUUGAGGGCAGCAGGGGCAGGUGGAAUGCCCGGUGUAGUGGUAAAAUGCGUAGAGAUCAGGAGGAACACCCGUGGCGAAGGCGGCCUGCUGGGCUGACCCUGACACUGAGGCGCGAAGGCGUGGGGAGCGAACG
This 405-nucleotide ribosomal RNA is filed under the name uncultured bacterium. RNAcentral's name for it is "bacterial SSU rRNA". It matches the Rfam family "Bacterial small subunit ribosomal RNA", at positions 355 to 774 of the family's 1533-position model. The record is from RNAcentral.